GGCACAUGUAUUUGUUAUGGCCACAACUGAAGUCCUGAUGUCACUGAUGUCACACACUUUUUUUGACAUUGCAAUGAUUUGAUAUGCCAGUAAUAAGGGAUCAGUAUCUGGCACCACAUAUCCUGCCUGCUGCACUUCUGGACUAGUGUAAGGAAGUUCUUUCAUCCAAGUGAUUUACCCAAAUAAUCCACUUAAGCUAAUAAGCCAAAAAUCACUCCAAGGAGCUAGAAGAUGUAGCAGAUGAACUACUGGCUCUCUGCCCUGUGGUGUACUGGCACUUCUGCACUUCUUUCAGAUCUGUUCCCUAUGAACUCAACUGUACAAGCAUGCUGAGUGAAAGGACAGGCUAUUUUAUACCAUUGAAACACAUAAACUGAAUCUGUCACAGUGGACUUCAUUUUUCUUCUUGUUUAGGAGCAUGAAGAUCUCUUACAGGAUUUCAGGGCAAAAAUACAGACAGAUUUUUGCACUUAAUACAUAUACUGUAGUAUUUCUACUAUUUAGGUGAAAAGUUUGGAGGUACACAAGGCAAAGAAUGCACAAAAUAGCAUACAGAAACUAAAAUCUCUAAUAAAAUUAUGGAACACAAACUAUUAACAGCCUAAUUUUACUUUAGCAACUCAGCAUACAAACUUUUUUUUGAGGCAUUCAAAAUUUUUUGAUUGGAGGUUCUAAGCCCAAGAUCCUUAAGAACCCUGUUUAAUGACAGUGCUGGUGAGCACCACUUAAAGCAAAAUCCAGUUUCUCCUAUUGCAAUCAAUGUCCAGAGUGACACCUGCUCUCCAGCCUGCCCCAGAUGCAUGUCACCCACCUGGCUGAUGGUACUCAUGGCUCUCAUGUAGCUUUCGUUGCGGGAGCGGAACUUGGGGGACGUCAGCAGCCCUGCAGGGUCCAGGCUGUCCAGGCUCCUGUUGAUGGAGACUUCGCUCACUGCCCUCAGAAUGGAAAAAUUUUACACUGUACUGAAAAUGACAGCAUCCAGCUCCAGCAACCCCCCCCAACUAUGUGGGACUUUUGAAGUGACAACACAGAAACGACCUCAUGAGUUGAUUUUAAAAGAGCAAGAGCAGCCAUUGAGAUAAGCAGCAGAACUGCUCUGUGCCCUGUGGCCUUACAGAGAUGAAUGCAGCAAUCAUCAAAACCAGCUGGCGUGUCAGGUAAAGAAAAAAGAGGCCUGAUAGUUCGAUCAGCUGGAUGAUCCUAAAUUUAUCAACUGAACAUCCACAUCUCAAAAUGCUGCUGGUGAUGUGACUCUGACAUGUUCUCGUGUAUGUAUUCAUGAAAUGGGACAGUUUCUCAUGGGGUUUUCCAUAUCCUUUCAUUGGGGGGUGUACAGGCCAAUAGGGCAGGCAGAUCAUACAAACCAUGCAAAGUGCACAGUAUGCCUUAACCUGGGAAAUCAUCCCACCACCAUAGGCAUUUGAUAUGCUUUAAAUUUUAUUUUAGACCUGGCUUAAGCCACGACUUAACAAAAUGUAUGCUAGUGAAGUAGCUUUACUCAAUGAUGUUAGAUUAGAAGUUUAAAAGUCACAGUUGUACUUCUGAAGCAAUAACUUUCCCUAGUUUUUCAAUACAAGUGACAGGUGAGACAUACAAGUAAUCAAAACCAAACAACAACCCCCCUCCCCCAGCAAUUUCCCAGGGAAUUUGUACUUCUGUAUUCCUGCCAUAUACGCUAAGAGUCAGCCAGAAACAAUCCUCCACCUGUGAGAUGUUUUAUCCUCUGAAUGUGCUGGCUAAAUGCUGUCUUCACAAUCUGAGGCAUCUUAUAAAUGUGUGAGUCACAAAAAGCACGUGAAAUACACUUGUAUGAAAUACAAUUAAUUUGGGGGAUAUGUCUUUUGAAAGAACUCAU
Molecule: long non-coding RNA, 1855 nt
Organism: Cyanistes caeruleus (blue tit)
Lineage: Eukaryota; Metazoa; Chordata; Aves; Passeriformes; Paridae
Source: Ensembl